AGUGAACGCUGGCGGUAGGCCUAACACAUGCAAGUCGAACGGCAGCACAGUAAGAGCUUGCUCUUACGGGUGGCGAGUGGCGGACGGGUGAGGAAUACAUCGGAAUCUACUUUUUCGUGGGGGAUAACGUAGGGAAACUUACGCUAAUACCGCAUACAACCUACGGGUGAAAGCAGGGGAUCUUCGGACCUUGCGCGAUUGAAUGAGCCGAUGUCGGAUUAGCUAGUUGGCGGGGUAAAGGCCCACCAAGGCGACGAUCCGUAGCUGGUCUGAGAGGAUGAUCAGCCACACUGGAACUGAGACACGGUCCAGACUCCUACGGGAGGCAGCAGUGGGGAAUAUUGGACAAUGGGCGCAAGCCUGAUCCAGCCAUACCGCGUGGGUGAAGAAGGCCUUCGGGUUGUAAAGCCCUCUUGUUGGGAAAGAAAAGCAGCAGGUUAAUACCCCGCUGUUCUGACGGUACCCAAAGAAUAAGCACCGGCUAACUUCGUG
Molecule: ribosomal RNA, 492 nt
Filed under: uncultured bacterium
Lineage: Bacteria
Description: partial 16S ribosomal RNA
Rfam family: Bacterial small subunit ribosomal RNA
Source: RNAcentral